ACAGAGGGUGCAAGCGUUAAUCGGAAUUACUGGGCGUAAAGCGCGCGCAGGCGGUUUUGUAAGUCAGAUGUGAAAUCCCCGGGCUCAACCUGGGAAUUGCAUUGGAGACUGCAAGGCUAGAAUCUGGCAGAGGGGGGUAGAAUUCCACGUGUAGCAGUGAAAUGCGUAGAUAUGUGGAGGAACACCGAUGGCGAAGGCAGCCCCCUGGGUCAAGAUUGACGCUCAUGCACGAAAGCGUGGGGAGCAAACAGG
Molecule: ribosomal RNA, 252 nt
Filed under: uncultured Janthinobacterium sp.
Lineage: Bacteria; Pseudomonadati; Pseudomonadota; Betaproteobacteria; Burkholderiales; Oxalobacteraceae
Description: partial 16S ribosomal RNA
Rfam family: Bacterial small subunit ribosomal RNA
Source: RNAcentral